Molecule: ribosomal RNA, 464 nt
Filed under: Vreelandella stevensii
Lineage: Bacteria; Pseudomonadati; Pseudomonadota; Gammaproteobacteria; Oceanospirillales; Halomonadaceae
Description: partial 16S ribosomal RNA
Rfam family: Bacterial small subunit ribosomal RNA
Source: RNAcentral
CCUACGGGAGGCAGCAGUGGGGAAUAUUGGACAAUGGGGGCAACCCUGAUCCAGCCAUGCCGCGUGUGUGAAGAAGGCCCUCGGGUUGUAAAGCACUUUCAGUGAGGAAGAACGCCUGGUGGUUAAUACCCAUCAGGAAAGACAUCACUCACAGAAGAAGCACCGGCUAACUCCGUGCCAGCAGCCGCGGUAAUACGGAGGGUGCGAGCGUUAAUCGGAAUUACUGGGCGUAAAGCGCGCGUAGGUGGCUUGAUAAGCCGGUUGUGAAAGCCCCGGGCUCAACCUGGGAACGGCAUCCGGAACUGUCAAGCUAGAGUGCAGGAGAGGAAGGUAGAAUUCCCGGUGUAGCGGUGAAAUGCGUAGAGAUCGGGAGGAAUACCAGUGGCGAAGGCGGCCUUCUGGACUGACACUGACACUGAGGUGCGAAAGCGUGGGUAGCAAACAGGAUUAGAUACCCUGGUAGC